AUGAUUUUAUGACUUAGAGCCUUUGCAGCGUAGGGAGCUGCUAGUGGGCUUGAGAACAGGAGCAAAGAUAGAGGAACAGAAGAGUGAGCCAUGGGCUCCUGUCACUAAGCAAAAAGAACUUCUGGGAUUGAAAGAACAAGAGCAAAUGGUGUUAAACUGAAAGAGGGGAGAUUUAGGUCUGACACCAUCUGGGGCCGGUUCUAUGCUAUGCAGGCACUGUUCAAAAGGAGUUCAGCAGCUUUGUGGCCAAGCGUGAGAUGACAGUGUUGAAAAUGAAGGAAGCAAAUCAUAAAUAAUUGCCUUGUGAACCAAAUUGUGACGGUUUGAGCCAGUGGAAGAGACUUCAAUAGUGCAAGAGCGGCUAUCUGUUCUCUUGGAAGCAUUCGAGAAGCACUAAAAUUGUCCAUAAAGUGAUGUUUUGAAGACUAGUCCAGCUGUUUCCAGUGCCUAUCUUUCAUUCCUCAGAGUGGACGGCCUCCUUUUUGAAUGUUGCUGCAUGGAGGAACUCAAUGCUCCAGACAAGCAUUUUCAAAGAUAGCUAUCUGCUGCAGUCAGAAGAAGACUGGCAAACUGUGAUCAUGACUGGAAAGAGAACUUGAAAACUGAGCUCAUAAAUACACUGAAGCUAAAAAAGAAUCAAGGCGAAAAGAAUACCAUGUAUUAACAUUUUCAAAACAUCAAGCUGUGGAGUGCACCACUAUAAAGAACGUGUCUCCAUCUUCUUGAUGAUCAUCUUGUAGGUAUGGGAAGGCUGCUGUUAGUUACCACCCCCAAAGAAUGUUCUUUUCCAGAUGUGAACAAACACAGUGCCCGGAGUAUCUCCUUACAGUGCCAUUGCUCUACCUCUCUGACCAUCUUUGUGGUUCUUCGCUGAAACUGCUCCAGUUGACUGAUGUAUCUGUCCUCUUGAAAGGGUACAAAAGGAGUGGUUUUAUAAAUGCGGGCUAAUUUAAUUCUGAGUAGAGGAGGAUAAUUGUGGAAUCAUAGAAUACUGUGACUUGGAAGGGACCCAAGUCUUUGACUCCAGCUCCUGCCUCUACACAACUUAGGGGUUAAACCGUGUAUCUUAAGAACAUUGUUCAAAUGUUUUUUGAAUACUGACAGACCCCUUUAAGGCUUCCCUAGAUGGUGCUAGUGAGUCUGCUGGUUUGCCAUGGCUGCACCCUGGCCAGAAGGCUGUUGCCAGGAAGAAUGUGAAGACCCAGACCCAGAGGUCGCACAGCAACAUGCUAGUGCACAGGUCUGUGUCUGCAGUGAGUGCUAGAGCCUGGCCCUUGCAGCACAGGGCAAGAGAGAUAGCAUCUGUGUUAGAUGCAACCAGCUGAUGGAUUUACGUAGCCUAGUAACUGACCUGAAGGAGGUGGUGGAGAUGCUGAGAAGCAUUAGGGAGUGUGAAAGGGAGAUAGAUUGGUAAUGCCAGUCCCUGCCAGCCCUGACAUCUAGGCAUCCAUCUGAGGCUCCAUAUGAAGCACAUCACCCCUUACUGCCUUGCAAACAGGUAACAGGAGGAGACCAUCAGGCAGACAGUGUUCCUGCUACAGUGAGCUCUUGUGUUCUCCUCCUCCUAACAAAAAUGAUGGUGAAGUGGGGGCAGGGGACAAUGGCAAAAGGUUCAUGUUCAGUGAUGCAGGCACACCUGCCCAUCAAUUCCUCCACCUCCCCAGCUGCCCCUGCAGAACAGAUACAGUGCUCUUCAGGGACAGCUGGACAGUGGUGGGGAUGAUGGUUCUUCCUGCUUAGAGGUGUCAUCAAGACUAGGCUACCCUUAACAUUAAAACCUUCUCAGUAAAGAAAAAAGAUGAGUCGUUGUUGUUGGUGACUCACUGCUGAAGGGAGCAGAAGGCCCAAUAUGCAGACCAGAUCCACUACACAGGCAGGUCUGCUGCCUCCGGGGGUUCAGAAGAUAGAAGGGAGAAACUUCCUUUCUUAUUAUGGCCCUCAGAUUAUUAUCCCCUAUUGUUGUUUCAGGUAGGCUGUGAUGAAAUAGGAAGGACUAUUAAGAAGCACUUCAGAGUCUUGGGGCAGCUGGUCAGAGGUUCAGGAGCACAAGUGCUCUCCUCUAUUCCUCCAGUUAUAGGGAAUGAUGAGGGACUGAACACGAUGGACCAACAGAUGAAUUCUUGGCUCUGAGCCUGGUGUGCCCAGCAGGGAUUUGGGUUUUUUGGCCUUGGCUCAAUUUACAUGAGACCAGGCCUGCUAGCAAUCAAUGGGAAUAGCUUAUCCCUCUGGUGGAAAGGGGUUUUAUGAUGGGAGUUGGCAAGGUUCAUUGAUAGAGCUUUAAACUAGGUAUGAAGAGGGAUGGGAGUGAAACCAAGGUCACUAGAAAGGAGCCUGUAUAUUAUAUGCCAGGGCUUGUGGGAGGAAGAUGUGCUAGUAAGAUCUUACAGUCCUGUGUCUUGGUGAGGGAGAACAACACACCUUUUUGUAGGAAGAAUAGAAGGGUUAGUGUGAGGCUGGUUGCUACAGAAACAUGUAAGUAUGGUCAAGAGUGUAUUAGGGUUUCUCCCACUCAAAUGGUGGCUCAUCUUCACUGCAUUUAGAGUAAUGCAUGCAGCAUGGGUAGCAAACAGAAGGAGCUGGAGGCCAUUGUGCUGCCAGGAAACUAUGAUAUAGUAGUUACCAACACAGAAAUAUGGUGGGAUGACUUGUAUAGCUGGAGAGCUGCGAUUGAUGGCUACCAACUCUUCAAAAGAGAUAAGCAAGACAGGAAAGGUGGUGGUGUGGCCCUCUAUGUUAAGAAAAAAUGUGAAUGUCUGGAAACUAAUGAUGGUGAUGAUAGGGUUGAGAGCCUAUGGGUCAGAAUCAAAGGGGAGGCCAGUAAGACUGACAUUAUUUUGGGAGUCUGCUACAGGCCACCCAACCAGGAUGAAAAGGUGGAUAGGAUACUUCAUAGACAAUUGGGUGAAGAAGUCCCGAGGUCUACCCCUUGUUCUCAUGGGGGACUUCAACUUCCCAGACAUUUGCUGGACAUAUAAUACAGGAGAAAGGGAACAGCCCUAGGUGUUCCUGGAGUGUGUGAGAGAUAACUUCCUGACACAGAUGGUGAAGGAGCCAAUAAGGGGAAGCAAAAUCCUGGACCUGCUAUUUGUUAACAGAGAAGAUCUUGUUGAAGGGGGAUGUAAAGGUUGGAGGCUGUCAGGGGCAAAGUGAUCAUGAAAUGAUAGAACCACAGAGGGGAAUCAGCAGAACUGCCACCUUGGAUUUCUAGAGUGCAGACUUUGGUCUGUUUAGGACCAUGGUCGAGAGAAUUCCUUGGCAGGUAGUUUUGGAGGGCCUGGGAGCCCAGGAAGGCUAGGAAUACUUCAAGGAAGUUAUUUUAAAUGUACAGGAGCUGACCAUCACCAUAUCACAGAAGACAAGCUGAUGGUGAAGGAGACCAGUUUGGCUGAACAGAGAUCUUUGGCUGGAACUUGGGAACAAAAGGAAAAAUUAUGGUCUUUGAAAGAGGACGCAAACAACUUACGAGGAUUAGAAAUACUGAAGCUGUGCAGAAAGGCCGAAGCCCAGGUAGAACUGAACUUCGCCACUAAGGUGAAAGGUAACAAUAAAUAUUUCUAAUGUUGCUGCAGAGACCAGACUCAGGGCAGGUAAGACUGCACUGGGCUAGGGAUCUAAACCAAAAAGGGCUGACAAAAAGGGGGCUUUUUUAGGGCUUUUCUGAAGCCAGCAAAAGCACUGCAAUCGGUGGUGGAUCCCUUGGCCUGUCCCUGUCGGUCUGGAGGGGGGACCUGAGGGACAGAGAGGACUGGGUGAGGGUCCCUGCUUGAUAUCAUGGGCAAACCCCUCCUGUCUACCUUGCAUCCCAGGUCUCCCUAAGCAAUAGGUUUGCAGCACUGGACACUGAAGGGGAGGUGACUGAGAAGGUGUGGGAAGGCUCCCCUAAGAGGUUACCAAGGGCGAGGCAGUCUACUCCAAGUGUUGAGACUGCCUCUGCCAGGAAAGAAAAAAGGGUGGUUGUGGUAGGCAACUCUCUUAUCAGAGGAACAGAGGGCCCCAUUUGCAGACCGGCACUGAGCCGUAGGGAAAUGUGCUGCCUUCCUGGGGCCCGUGUCAGGGUCAUAACUAGAAAACUCCCAAAGCUGGUUCACUCCCAUUACUCCUAGUUCAGGUGGGCAGUGAUGAAAUUGCUUGGAGAAACUUGGUAGCUAUGGAAGGAGAUUUCAGGGGGUUAGAGUGCAUAGUUCAAGGAGCAGAAGCGCAAGUGAUGUUUUGUUCUAUACCUUCUGGGGUGGUGAAGGACAUGGAGCGGGCUACGAAAACACAGGUGAGCAGCAGAUAGAGCAGUGCAACAUCACCUCUUGCUGGUCCAGCCUAGGUGGAGGCCCCUGGCACUGCCAGGAAAUCAUCUUCACUGCCUGAAUCCUGCUGUGUUGCCUUUCCAGCAGAUGUCAGAGACACUGAUGUUCCUCCUCCGUAUAUGCCUGUUAUUCAGAGUCUUUCUUGAGCUGUUUAUGGAAGCCUUUACCUACUUCCUUAUGCUGAUCCAUAGACUUUAGCCUGCUCAUCAUCCCUGCUGGUCUGUUCUGUGAUCCCCACACACACAAGCUGUGGACCAGCCAGUCUGUAGCUGGUCCUGAGCAGAGUUCCAUGCAUCCAAGUCAUUCUUCCACAGAGAGGACAGCCCCUCUCCUUGUCCUCCAUGCCACUGUUUCUUGCAGGGUUUCUGCCACCCACCGUGGUGCUUCAGUCAUGCAUGUUGUCUGACCGUGUCCCAGUUAUGCCAGUUAUGGUUCUGUAAACUUGCACACAAGUUCUAGUUUUUCCUGCUUGCUUUCCACGCUGCACUCAGUUGUCCAUGUACUCACAGCAGUGCAGGAAUAUUUAACUGAUCUUUUGUUAGCACUAGACCAACUUAACUGCAGUCUGUAAAUAUGUUUAUAAUUUAUUGAAAGAGUCUUAUAAAGAUAUAAAAUAUUGUAUUUUUGUGAUACAUGCAUGCGCUCACACUUUAUCUUAAAAGUCAAUUACUAAUUCCCAAAAUAAAUAAAAUGCUUUAUUUCCUAAGUCACAGCUCCUGAAUCAAGCGUCCUCCAUUGCAUCUUAAACAGGUUUACCAGGCUGAUGCUGUCUGCUUAAUUACUUUUUAACAAGUUUCCAUUCAAAAAUGUCUUUUGUCAUGUAUAUUGUGUUAUGGGUAAACAUACGGCUUGUUUCCUGCCUGUCUUUCUUUUCUAUUGUUAUUAACAUGAGAAAUAAUGGUCCAAAAAUUAUUUGAAGGAAUUGGUUGAAAUUGCUCUCAAAAAAAAUAAACCAGUUGAUGAAAUGUAUUUCAUUUAGUUUGUGCAAUUUAAUACCAAGCACCAUACAGAAGUGUCACAAAAGGUGUGGUUUUGAAAAUUCCUCUCAAAGCGAAGAAGGGACAGCCUAUUAGUGAACAGUUUCUGUUCACUAAGUGCAGUUGUUGGAGAAGACUUUGGCACAAAUUGUGAAACAUCAGAGCUUUAUCAUAAAUAAAUCAACUUCUUUUGCAA
This is a long non-coding RNA of Tympanuchus pallidicinctus (lesser prairie-chicken), 5471 nucleotides long. RefSeq lists it as uncharacterized. The record is from RefSeq and is a predicted model, not a curated record. NCBI's taxonomy places the organism in Eukaryota, Metazoa, Chordata, Aves, Galliformes, Phasianidae. The transcript has 7 exons.